CAAAAGGUAGUUUAGUAAAAAUUCCGGUUUUGGGGACCGGGGAUGAAGGCUUGGAUCCUUCUUUUUUGA
RNAcentral lists this transfer RNA (69 nucleotides) under Cuora galbinifrons (flowerback box turtle). Its description in RNAcentral is "tRNA-Pro". It matches the Rfam family "tRNA". From Rfam's summary of the family: Transfer RNA (tRNA) molecules are approximately 80 nucleotides in length. Their secondary structure includes four short double-helical elements and three loops (D, anti-codon, and T loops). The record is from RNAcentral. Lineage: Eukaryota; Metazoa; Chordata; Testudines; Geoemydidae.